Cephus cinctus (wheat stem sawfly) is the source of this 4997-nucleotide long non-coding RNA. RefSeq lists it as uncharacterized. The record is from RefSeq and is a predicted model, not a curated record. NCBI's taxonomy places the organism in Eukaryota, Metazoa, Arthropoda, Insecta, Hymenoptera, Cephidae. The transcript has 2 exons.
GGGGUGUUGAUAAUGAACGUUGUCUGUAUUACAUAUACGCAUACAUGUAUCCGAUACAUAAUAAUUAUUACGUAACGAUUACAAACAAUAACAUAGUAAUAAUGUACGUUUAAAAGUCUAGUUACGCGUUAAAGUUUAUUAGUUGAUUUGCUAAAGCGAACGAAAAGUAAAGGAAGUAUAUAUAUAACUCAUUAUAGUGCCAUCGUAACUGACUAAUUAAAAGAAAUACCAAUUUUUUAUGUUUUAAGUAGCCGUAAAAACUACUCCCGUAGGCUCUUAACGAUUUGCGAGAAGUUUUCUUCUUCUUUUUCUUUUUUUUUUUUUUUCCCUUCGUUCUUAUUCUUCUUUCUUCUUCUUGCGGCGUUCAAGACAAAGACUCGUUUCGCGUUCCGUUGUCGUUGAUUAUUGUCAUUGACACCACGUGACAGGGGGCGUCGCGCGUGGGAGUGGGUCUCUUACGUCAUAGCCAUACGUACGCGAUCCUUUCUCGUGUAUUUGCACACGGAAACGAUUUCCGCAUAUACACUUUUAGACACGCACUGUACACUGAUACUUUUAUCACACGCACAGAUAUAUUUACAACCCCCCCAACUUACCCCCUCUUCAACCCCCUUGCCCAUUGGGGGGGGCGCUCUUCCUCCCAUACCACCCCUAACGCCGUACCCUCACGCGCGCGCCCACGCUUUCCAACAUUUGGAUUCAUCGGCUGCUGACGAUUUUGACAAUUGAAAGGAGUCGCGUAAGUUGAAAUUCUUUUUUCUUUUUUUUUUCUUUUCUUCUUCCUGCCCGACAUACGAUUCUGCACGCUCGACGUCGCGCGACGCUUACGAAUAAAUAUAAUGCGGUUGAAUAAUGUUGAUUUUACAUUAUUACGUAGUAAUGUUAUAUUAUUAUAGGAUCGCAACUCUUUAUUUGUACGUAUCUCAUUUUUCGGUGCUCGACAUACCCAAUUAUUGUUACUACUAUUAUUACUAUUAUUAUUAUUAUUAUUAUUAUUAUUACUGAUUCUUACGAUUAUAAUAUCAUAUUGCCUAUUGUCGAUCGGUAAUUAUAAUUAUCAGAGUUAUUGAUUAAUGAUGGUUAUUUGAUAUAAUGCUCUAUGCACAUCACACGCAUAUACAUACAAUCAUGUAAACACGUAAAACAUUGUGGUUAUAUUUCAAUGUAUCAGCAUAAUGAUAUAAUUAUUGCGAUGUUGCCCAUAGAAUACAUUUUACUUGGUUUUUAUAUUUGGCAGUAUUUCAUUUAUACGUCUUCUUAUUCCAUCGCUGUUUACCUUUGGCUCUCUUUGUUGCGUCUAUCAUUUUCUUUUCCUGUUUUCUUUACCUUUUUUUCCCUUUUCUUCUUUGUUCCGGCUUUCCCUUUACGCGAGUGCUCGGUUCUUUGGUGAUUCUUUGUUGGUAACGCUUUGGGUUUUUUUUUUUCGUAUUUUGUCGCGCUCAAUUUGUUUUACACAAUCGUAUAAUACGACGAGGGAAAUGAAAAUUGGGGUGAAUAGGUUUUUUUUUUUUUGACGGAAGACGUUGUACGCUUAUUACAAAAUGCCACAAUUGUUAACCGUGAAGAUGUUGUUUUCCUCGAAACUAAUUCUUUCGUUCUUUGAAUAAUUUUCGACUUCCGAAAUACGCACGAUAAUAUUAUUAUUGUAUUAGGCUCAUAAUUGUUGUUAAUUAGGAAAAAGUACACUAUUUGUUAUUGCUCGCCAGUGAAGAGAUCUCGUGAUGGCUUUCACGAGCAGGUAUAGAUUAGACGAUAAUCAUGUAAAUAAACGAAUCCCACGUAAUAACGUACUAUUUACCAAGUUAAUGAUGGCCGAGAUGGUUAAAUCACUGCGAAGCUCAUUUGACAAGGUUUUUUCAAUUCCGACAGUUUGAAUCGCGCGCGCAAUCGGAAUCCAUCGUUUCCGGGCUGCACGCGAGUUUCACUCGCGAAGUUCCUGUCGUUGUUUUUCUCCCUGGGAUGUAAAUAUGUAAUAUAUAUCGGGCUGUACUUACCAUCACUUAUUAUCGGCACCUGAGCACUUACAAUAUUCACGAAAGAUACGAGGCAUCGCAUAUAUACAUAUAUAUUUUAUUAAUCGAUUCUCAUUGACGACUGAUCAAUCGAUGUCCGUUCGAUUACGGAAAACAAUGUUGAAAGUCGAUCGUACGAAAUAUAAAUGAAUACACGUAUACCGAAUUAACUUUACACGCGUAUCAUUGUCAAAUGGGCUUCGAUGUUCUUCACUGUUCUUCCACCGUUAAGCAAAGGAGGAAGAAAAAGAAAAACAGUUAAGGGAAAUCAUUAAACGACAGCGAAUCAUUUCGAUACCUACGAACGUGAUCCGUUCCAUCGAGUAAAAGUAUAACGAAUAAAUCCUCCGAUGUUGUAUUUUACAAAGACACUAUUCUUCUAUGGCAGAAUCGCGUAAGUCUCCGAUGUACAGUUCAUUUAAUACAAUUUGUACUUAGACAUGUCGGAAACUGUCGUGACGAGGUGUAACGUUUGUUGGGAGAAUUAGUUUUGUGAAAAGGGAUAAAAGUGACGCUACAAAGAUCAUCUCGAGGGAACGGAAUUAUGGUAAAUAAUUGCUUUUCCUUGUUGGAUUGCGCAAUUGGUGACGUGCAGUUUUUAAAAGAGACAAAAUACGAACGUUGAGGGAAUGCAGGAUAAUCUUUUUGUGUCUUUUAUUGUAAUUAACGAUUAUUUUGUACAAUUCCUUUUGAGGGUUAUGAUUAUCCGUUAUGCGGAAUUCAAAAUACUGGCCGUUAUUUUGCAGAACAAGGUAAUUUCGUUCGCGACCGUUAACUCUUUACGUUAAUCGUGUGUCAGAUCGUUUUGUGUUUUAAUGUUAAAGAUUUUUCAAAAUAACGUCAAGUUGAAUACUCGCGCGUAACAGUUGGUGCUGUCUUACGACGGGAGUUUUGAGAGUUCGUUACAUACUAGAGACAGCGACGUACUGUCUCGGUGUUAACCUCAAAUGAAAAUCCUUCGCGACUUAACCGUGUUGUCUUUGUGUUGCAUAUUUAUCAUUGUGCUGUGAGAACUGUGCCAGUCGACAAUUAUUGUGUAUUGGGUAUAUGCAGCUGUCUGUGUUGCGAAAUUCGUGAUUUAACGUCGUUCUUAAGAAUUUACAAGUGCAUGAUCGGGGACUGUGUGAAUGAUUCUCGACGUAAACUCUAAUACCGUAAAUUCUCUUUGAUCGAGUGUCAAUGACUGUACAUAAAUAUCGAUUUGAUUGAUAUUACCUAAUUGCCUUAUACGUUUUACGUGUACUGUAUCCAUUUGACAAUGUUGACUUAUACAUUUUUCAAAAAUCAUUCGAACCUCUCUCCCUGUUAGUUUAUGACGGAGAUACACGUCGACGGUGCGACUUCUUUUUUUGUCAGCAAACACACUGUUAUCUCUCCUUACGUAUUUCUGUCUCGUCUACACCUUGACUAAUAUGUAUUUCGAAAAUAUCUUGAGCACAGAUAAUCGGUACACACUUCAGCUGUGGGUCGAUAACGUUCAGUGUGAUGUAUUGUGAUUGCACUGGAGUACUGAUGUAAUUUUCAUUGUGAUGUCCAUUAACGUACUUUAUAUGUUCGUAAACAUGGAAGAUCGAUCGGUGAUCGAUAAGAUCGUUGAUCUAAGGAAUGGUGCUUAAUGUAGUGUCUGAGGAUACAAAGUGAAGAAAAAGUUGUGCGAUAUUCUGACCAAAGAGUAUUACGCGCUGUGACUUUGUAUUAACGUGCAUCGAAACUUUGUCGAUUCGUUGAAAAUUCCGAUUCUGUAUUUGUACUUUCUCGAAAUUGCUGUCUUCGGUCGCUAUUAUUUGAAAAUUCAAAAUCUUAUCGGUAUACCCUUCUGUUUUUUCACAGUUUAUCCGGUCUGUCUUCUAUGUAUGCGAAUAUAUAUCUGUCCUCUGUAGAAAUGCCUUAAUAUCACGUGCCUCAAUUAAUAUUUAAAUUUGUUCACUUGCUUAUAUCUACUACUUAUUAGUCUAUGUAACAAAUACGUGUAAUAUCGACUUAUUCUUUGUACUGCUCUUGUAAAUACAUUAAGAAUAAUCACUGUCACUCUGUUGUCUAUGUUUACAAUGGUCUCAAGCUUGCAGUCAUGCGGUUCUUAUGUAUUUUUGUAAGAAUUUACUUAUUUCACCCAAUUCCGUCAAUAAUUUACUUAUGCAAAUAUUCCGUAUGACUGCAACUACGAAAUUCUCUGUUCACUGCUUAACACUCGUUAUCUUUCCCUUUUUCGCCUUUACAGCAAAGAAUCGGUACUGAACAAAAACUUUUGUUGGCAGACGAAAAUAAUCUUCAGAACAAAAAAAAAUGGAUGGUUUGUGUCUUUUGGCAGGCUCUUAAGAAUUUCAGACUUAAAUGGUAAGAUAACAGUUAAUUUCUUAUAAUCUAAUGGCAGACUUGUACAUGACUUGAAUUUAUUAUCCAGCAUUAAUUUUCAUAAUGAAAAAGGACUUAAUGUUUGCAUGAGAUGAAUAUAAUUGUUACUAAUCCAAUGGGAGUAUUCACUGUUCUCAAUAUGAAACUGACGAACAUAGUUUUCCCGAAUAACUGGAAUUAAUGUUUACUAUAAAUUCUCAGGUAAGGUUGACGGCUCUUGAUCAAAGGACUUCACGCAGAGAUGAAUAUAGGGAGAUUGCCAAUGAGCCGAUUUUCAUGGUCCAAGUUUUAUUUCGAUGUCGACGCGCCACCUGAUCGGAGGACCCACGAACACCCGACGUCAUUUUUGGUCAAGUAUAUGUAUAUAGUAAUACUACGUAUGAUAUUCGUGAGAUCCAUGAGACGCAUGGAUUUAUACCUGGUGGCAAUUUAAAACGUGUGUAUUCUGGUGUCGACGCUGCCACCUUGGAGCCUUGAACAAGUCUCACUUUUGUGGUUGGUAAAAAAUUAUAUUUCGAAAUUUAUUCAAAAUAUAAAAUUGGGGCUUAAGUAAAAUCUCACAAAAUACACGGAAUAGAUCAAAAUUGAACUGAACUUGUAAAGUAUUGAAAAUAAAUUGCGUUCAAACUGAAA